AUCUUACAACUAGGUCAGUAUGAUGAGGUGUUGUUUGACACACAAAUUCUUAAAUAUUAUAUGCCUUAAAAGAAAAGAUCAGGCUGUAAUGUAUUUUCUCCCCUAAGAAGGAGAAGCUCAAAAUAUGGGUCAGAGAGAUACCUACUAUGUUUGCAGAGUUGUACUAGUUAUUGGAGAUGAAAAGAUUUUUUAAACUAGACCCCAGCUCUAAAGGAGCUUAAAAGAAAAGCACAAGUUAAUUUGUCACACUAAUCAUGAAUCCAGAGAACUCAUUUUGUUCAUCAGGAAAGCAGUUGCCCAAAUCCAUAGUCUCUUCACCUGCUGCCUCACCAUUCAUACCAGAAAUCAUACCCCACAGGAAUUUACAUCUUAGUGUCCUGCUUUCCACAUCCACAUCCUGCUUUUCCAAUCUCUCCUAGGAUAUUUUCAGAAGAACCUCCGCCAUGAUUAAUUUAAAUUCCUCCUUUCUAGCUACCACCUGCAUUUCUCCUAACUAUCUGAUUUGUUAGAAACCUCAUUUCCCUUUUUCUCCCCCACCCCCUGCAUUGUCCUUAAGCUUUGGAACCAUAAACCACUAUUACCCCUCGGAGAAAUAUAUUCAAUCUACUCCCAUAUGUCCCCACUCACCAUCCCUAUAAUUUUUUGGACCAAAAUGCUCCUCCCUUUCCACUACUCCCCUUCGUUGUUUCACCCCAAAAGACUAUAAGUUUCUUGAGGAUAGGAGUAGUUUCAGUUUUUGUAUUUGAAUUCCCAACACUUAAUACAGUAUCCUAUGCAUAGUAAAUGUUGCCAUUCAUUUAUUGGAUAAUCAAAAAAUGGGUACUUUCUUUCUCUAAAGUUGCCCAUAGCCAGAUUAUUAACACAUUUUCUCUUGGGCCAGUAUUUCCAUAGACUUUACAAUGCACAAGAAGACCGUGCUGACAACAAAAGAGCAAGAGAAAAUAAGAAUAACUGGGCCAAGAGAAAACCACCGGGAGGCAUCUUCUGUAUUGUUCUAAAUAUCACAUAUGAUGUGUGAUUUCUUAGGAAUACAUGAAACAAAGUAUUUUUGAAAUGUUUCCUCAAUAACAAAAAGCCUCACAUUUUA
Molecule: long non-coding RNA, 1087 nt
Organism: Monodelphis domestica (gray short-tailed opossum)
Lineage: Eukaryota; Metazoa; Chordata; Mammalia; Didelphimorphia; Didelphidae
Source: RefSeq, a predicted model, not a curated record